RNAcentral lists this ribosomal RNA (376 nucleotides) under uncultured bacterium. RNAcentral's name for it is "bacterial SSU rRNA". It matches the Rfam family "Bacterial small subunit ribosomal RNA", at positions 524 to 898 of the family's 1533-position model. The record is from RNAcentral.
UACGUAGGGGGCAAGCGUUGUCCGGAAUCAUUGGGCGUAAAGAGCGUGUAGGCGGCCAGAUAAGUCCGCUGUGAAAACUCGAGGCUCAACUUCGAGCUGUCGGUGGAAACUAUUUGGCUAGAGUCCGGAAGAGGAGAGUGGAAUUCCUGGUGUAGCGGUGAAAUGCGCAGAUAUCAGGAAGAACACCCGUGGCGAAGGCGGCUCUCUGGUACGGAACUGACGCUGAGACGCGAAAGCGUGGGGAGCGAACAGGAUUAGAUACCCUGGUAGUCCACGCCGUAAACGAUGGGUGCUAGGUGUGGGGGGUGUCAACUCCCUCCGUGCCGAAGCUAACGCAUUAAGCACCCCGCCUGGGGAGUACGGCCGCAAGGCUAAA